CUUGGUGUCGUCUAGUGGUUAGGACGCGAGCUCCACACGCUCGAGAUCGAGGGUUCGAUCCCUCCAUUGAUA
Molecule: transfer RNA, 72 nt
Filed under: Globisporangium irregulare DAOM BR486
Lineage: Eukaryota; Oomycota; Peronosporomycetes; Pythiales; Pythiaceae
Description: tRNA-Val for anticodon CAC
Rfam family: tRNA
About the family: Transfer RNA (tRNA) molecules are approximately 80 nucleotides in length. Their secondary structure includes four short double-helical elements and three loops (D, anti-codon, and T loops). Further hydrogen bonds mediate the characteristic L-shaped molecular structure. tRNAs have two regions of fundamental functional importance: the anti-codon, which is responsible for specific mRNA codon recognition, and the 3' end, to which the tRNAs corresponding amino acid is attached (by aminoacyl-tRNA synthetases). tRNAs cope with the degeneracy of the genetic code in two manners: having more than one tRNA (with a specific anti-codon) for a particular amino acid; and 'wobble' base-pairing, i.e. permitting non-standard base-pairing at the 3rd anti-codon position.
Source: RNAcentral